CCUACGGGUGGCAGCAGUGGGGAAUAUUGGGCAAUGGGCGCAAGCCUGACCCAGCAACGCCGCGUGAAGGAAGAAGGCUUUCGGGUUGUAAACUUCUUUUUACAGGGAAGAGUAGAAGACGGUACCUGUCGAAUAAGCCACGGCUAACUACGUGCCAGCAGCCGCGGUAAUACGUAGGUGGCAAGUGUUGUCCGGAUUUACUGGGUGUAAAGGGCGUGUAGCCGGGUUGACAAGUCAGAUGUGAAAUCCUGCGGCUUAACCGGAGAACUGCAGUUGAUACUGUUAAUCGUGAGUACUGGAGAGGCAGACGGAAUUCGUGGUGUAGCGGUGAAAUGCGUAGAUAUUAGGAAGAACACCGGUGGCGAAGGCAGUCUGCUGGACAGCAACUGACGGUGAGGCGCGAAAGCGUGGGGAGCAAACAGGAUUAGAUACCCUAGUAGUC
Molecule: ribosomal RNA, 442 nt
Filed under: uncultured bacterium
Lineage: Bacteria
Description: partial 16S ribosomal RNA
Rfam family: Bacterial small subunit ribosomal RNA
Source: RNAcentral